AUUGAACGCUGGCGGCAUGCUCUACACAUGCAAGUCGAACGGUAACAGGCCGCAAGGUGCUGACGAGUGGCGAACGGGUGAGUAAUGCAUCGGAACGUGCCCAGUCGUGGGGGAUAACUAAUCGAAAGAGUAGCUAAUACCGCAUACGAUCUAUGGAUGAAAGCGGGGGACCGUAAGGCCUCUCGCGAUUGGAGCGGCCGAAGUCAGAUGAGAUAGUUGGUGGGGUAAAGGCUCACCAAGCCAACGAUCUGUAGCUGGUCUGAGAGGACGACCAGCCACAAUGGGACUGAGACACGGCCCAGACUCCUACGGGAGGCAGCAGUGGGGAAUUUUGGACAAUGGGCGCAAGCCUGAUCCAGCAAUGCCGCGUGCAGGAAGAAGGCCUUCGGGUUGUAAACUGCUUUUGUACGGAACGAAACGGCUCUGGUUAAUACCCGGGGCUAAUGACGGUACCGUAAGAAUAAGCACCGGCUAGCUACGUG
RNAcentral lists this ribosomal RNA (482 nucleotides) under uncultured bacterium. Its description in RNAcentral is "partial 16S ribosomal RNA". It matches the Rfam family "Bacterial small subunit ribosomal RNA", at positions 30 to 507 of the family's 1533-position model. The record is from RNAcentral.